Molecule: ribosomal RNA, 465 nt
Filed under: uncultured bacterium
Lineage: Bacteria
Description: partial 16S ribosomal RNA
Rfam family: Bacterial small subunit ribosomal RNA
Source: RNAcentral
CCUACGGGAGGCAGCAGUAGGGAAUCUUCCACAAUGGACGAAAGUCUGAUGGAGCAACGCCGCGUGAGUGAAGAAGGGUUUCGGCUCGUAAAGCUCUGUUGGUAGUGAAGAAAGAUAGAGGUAGUAACUGGCCUUUAUUUGACGGUAAUUACUUAGAAAGUCACGGCUAACUACGUGCCAGCAGCCGCGGUAAUACGUAGGUGGCAAGCGUUGUCCGGAUUUAUUGGGCGUAAAGCGAGUGCAGGCGGUUCAAUAAGUCUGAUGUGAAAGCCUUCGGCUCAACCGGAGAAUUGCAUCAGAAACUGUUAGACUUGAGUGCAGAAGAGGAGAGUGGAACUCCAUGUGUAGCGGUGGAAUGCGUAGAUAUAUGGAAGAACACCAGUGGCGAAGGCGGCUCUCUGGUCUGCAACUGACGCUGAGGCUCGAAAGCAUGGGUAGCGAACAGGAUUAGAUACCCCUGUAGUC